AUGGCAUUGAACAUGUCCUAAUGUUUCACAAUGAGAAGUGAAGCACUUCCUCUUACUUAAAAAGAAAAAUAUUUGAUUUUUACAGGAUGCCUGACACUAAUGCUCACUAUUCUGCUAUCUAUAAUGUCUUCACUUAUGGAUAUAUUUAUUAACAAAUACUUAUUAUCUAUUUAACAUUUCCUCUACUGAGUGUUAUUAAUUACAGAUGCUGUAUUCGUUUCCUAAGGCUGCUGUAACAAAUUACCACAAACUUGGUGACUUAAAACAACAGAAAUUUAUUCUCUCACGGUUCUGGAGGCCAGAAGUUCAAAAUACAGCUGGGACCAAAGGCAUCUCUAAGGAAGGAUACAGUCCUUGCCUCUUCCAGGGUUCUGUGCCUCCUGUUGGAAUCAGCUCACUAACCAGUGGAAACAAACUGUUUAUCCUUCUAUGAUGUUGUUAACUGCCUGGGCUUUCUAAUGCGUCUUCAGAUUUCAGUUUGUACUCAGAACAAGUGAGAAAAGUUUUACAGAAACUCCACGAAACAAAGCAGACAGGCUCUCCUGAAGCCAAGGAGUUAUGAAAAAGGCAGGCAUCGCGCACUGAAUCAAGUAUGCCAUUACCCUCACUCCCAUGAACCUGUCUUUCAGCACAAUCCAUGACAGCAAGAAGACAAAGGCUUUGUUACAACAGAACAGAGCGGAGACAUCCGUGGCCGUCAGCUUCUUUA
RNAcentral lists this non-coding RNA (709 nucleotides) under Pan troglodytes (chimpanzee). Lineage: Eukaryota; Metazoa; Chordata; Mammalia; Primates; Hominidae. The record is from RNAcentral.